This 730-nucleotide ribosomal RNA is filed under the name uncultured bacterium. Its description in RNAcentral is "bacterial SSU rRNA". It matches the Rfam family "Bacterial small subunit ribosomal RNA", at positions 771 to 1501 of the family's 1533-position model. The record is from RNAcentral.
AACAGGAUUAGAUACCCUGGUAGUCCACGCCGUAAACGAUGUCGACUUGGAGGUUGUGCCCUUGAGGCGUGGCUUCCGGAGCUAACGCGUUAAGUCGACCGCCUGGGGAGUACGGCCGCAAGGUUAAAACUCAAAUGAAUUGACGGGGGCCCGCACAAGCGGUGGAGCAUGUGGUUUAAUUCGAUGCAACGCGAAGAACCUUACCCACUCUUGACAUCCAGAGAACUUAGCAGAGAUGCUUUGGUGCCUUCGGGAACUCUGAGACAGGUGCUGCAUGGCUGUCGUCAGCUCGUGUUGUGAAAUGUUGGGUUAAGUCCCGCAACGAGCGCAACCCUUAUCCUUUGUUGCCAGCGGUUAGGCCGGGAACUCAAAGGAGACUGCCAGUGAUAAACUGGAGGAAGGUGGGGAUGACGUCAAGUCAUCAUGGCCCUUACGAGUAGGGCUACACACGUGCUACAAUGGCAUAUACAAAGAGAAGCGACCUCGCGAGAGCAAGCGGACCUCAUAAAGUAUGUCGUAGUCCGGAUUGGAGUCUGCAGCUCGACUCCAUGAAGUCGGAAUCGCUAGUAAUCGUGGAUCAGAAUGCCACGGUGAAUACGUUCCCGGGCCUUGUACACACCGCCCGUCACACCAUGGGAGUGGGUUGCAAAAGAAGUAGGUAGCUUAACCUUCGGGAGGGCGCUUACCACUUUGUGAUUCAUGACUGGGGUGAAGUCGUAACAAGGUAACC